AGCAGUCCCGCGGUAAUACGAAGGGGGCUAGCGUUGCUCGGAAUGACUGGGCGUAAAGGGCGCGUAGGCGGCGAUCAAAGUCAGGCGUGAAAUUCCUGGGCUCAACCUGGGGGCUGCGCUUGAUACUUGGUUGCUUGAGUGGGGAAGAGGGUCGUGGAAUUCCCAGUGUAGAGGUGAAAUUCGUGGAUAUUGGGAAGAACACCGGUGGCGAAGGCGGCGACCUGGUCCUUUACUGACGCUGAGGCGCAAAAGCGUGGGGAGCAAACAGGAUUAGAGACCCGUGUAGUCCCUGUCUCUUAUACA
This 303-nucleotide ribosomal RNA is filed under the name uncultured bacterium. RNAcentral describes it as "partial 16S ribosomal RNA". It matches the Rfam family "Bacterial small subunit ribosomal RNA", at positions 510 to 808 of the family's 1533-position model. The record is from RNAcentral.